Molecule: ribosomal RNA, 254 nt
Filed under: uncultured bacterium
Lineage: Bacteria
Description: partial 16S ribosomal RNA
Rfam family: Bacterial small subunit ribosomal RNA
Source: RNAcentral
UACGUAGGGUGCGAGCGUUGUCCGGAAUUAUUGGGCGUAAAGAGCUCGUAGGCGGUGUGUCGCGUCGGCCGUGAAAACCUGGGGCUUAACUCUGGGCGUGCGGUCGAUACGGGCAUCACUAGAGUUCGGCAGGGGAGACUGGAAUUCCUGGUGUAGCGGUGAAAUGCGCAGAUAUCAGGAGGAACACCGGUGGCGAAGGCGGGUCUCUGGGCCGAUACUGACGCUGAGGCGCGAAAGCGUGGGGAGCAAACAGG